RNAcentral lists this long non-coding RNA (3669 nucleotides) under Eptatretus burgeri (inshore hagfish). RNAcentral's name for it is "lncRNA (ENSEBUG00000017431.1)". The record is from RNAcentral. Lineage: Eukaryota; Metazoa; Chordata; Myxini; Myxiniformes; Myxinidae.
GUUAAACUCCACCAGGACAAGUUAAACUCCUGUAGCUCAUCGUCAAACGAAGAAUGAAGUCAUUUCAAACUUCUGUGCGCUGAAAAGUGGUGCAUCUGAGAUCAGGGUCGCAUCUUUGCUCCGAACACCCCCACCCGAGUAGGGUCGGACAGAGGGACCCAUUCAAGGGAGAAGCACUGUGCGUUCUGCACAGGCACGUUCUUGGGUGAUUUGUGGUUGGUGAACAAUGGAUGGAGCUUGGCAGAGCAGUGAAAUGGAGUGGAGCACUGGAUGAACGAAGGAACCAGGUUCCAGAAAUAAAAGAACCAGUCGCCAGAUGUCUCAGUUGCUUCAGUCACUUCCUUGUCAUCGGCAGCCACACAGGUGUGACUUCAAAUGUCGAAACAGUUCUGAUCGAGGUGUAUCUUCAAUGGAUUCAAACCAUGUAUGAAGUCAACUGCCAUUUGACUACUGUGUUGAAUACAAGAGCACACCCUCACGGCACACAAGCAUUGUGCGUGCGUUAUUUUUGGAACUGGCACCUUCUUUGCUUAAAAAUUUAAUGACAUCUCGAUGCUCCAUUUUAGCAACAUCAUUCUGAAACAAUGGACAGAAUUCUGAAACAACAAUGUCACAUUAAUGAAACUAAUAAUUGCAUACCUGCAAGUUUAUAAUGAGCCAAAGCCAGAAGACCUAUGGUGCUAAGCAAUACAACACUCAUGUUUUGAACACUGUGUGUGUGUGCGUGCGUGCGUGCGCGCGUGUGUGCGUGUUCAGAGACCAUAUUUGUUCUAAUUCCUUUGUGAUAUAAAUACAAGGAAAUCAGACACAGGUGGAGGCCAUUCAGCCCAUCAUACCUGUGCGACAUCAACACCAUACUAUUUUAUCAACACAAGAUCCAAAGAAGAAAAUGCAAAAUUUAUUUAUUUAUUAUUUUUUUUUUGUUUGUUUUUGUGUUUUUUUAAUUUAUUGUUUAUUUUAAGUUUUUGUAUUUUUUUAAUAAUUAUUUUUUUCUUCUUUUCCCCUCAGGGGAGGGGGUAAGGGCUUGGUUAAAAACACACAAAAUCAAUCACACAACCCCCCUUGACAAGAUCCCUACAAACAGCACUCCGUACACAAUCACCCAUCAAUGCUCAAACGACCUAAAAGUCUUAUCCACAUCCCCAUACCCCUCUAUCUCCAUAACUUCCAGGUACCUAUCUAAUUAUAAUUUAAACUUAUCUACUGUUUCUGCUGUCACUACCUUUCCAGGGAGGCCAUUUCCAUGCAUCAACUACUCUUUGAGUGAAAGUCCCCUGCCUUAUGACCAUCUUCACUCUCCUCUUCUUUACUCAAGAGAGUAAAUUAAAUGGCAACACUUGUCAAUAUUAAGUAAUUUUCAGAUGUUAUUGUGUUGUUCAGUUCAUUGGGCUGUCACGUGCAUGGAAUAUUUUUUGUUGUUUUGGUAAAAGUAGGAUUUCUUCAUAGAAAGCUAUUCGAUGUUGUGGUUUCCCUUCAGUUUCUUUUGGGCAUCUCAUAAAGGCACAUCCUACAUUUGGGUUUAAAUUCUGCCGUUGGGUUUGCAAUGCAUUUUCUUCAUUGUUUUGAUGAUCAAGCCAGGCAAACAAUAAGUUAUUGUUCAGAAAAGGCCUCUUUAUUGCUUGAUCUCACUUCAAAGCACACAGCAUAUUCACAAGACCUCAUCAAUUCUGUAAUGGAGCUAUUGAAGAAAUAAUGUGCCAAAGAUUCUGGAAGAAAUACAAAUUCAGAUCUCUUUUCAUAACAAAAUUAUUUUGUGGCAUUGCAGGAAUAGAAACUUCCUCAACGGUUAGGGCAUUUGUUACCUGCCAGUUGUCCUUCCAUUGAAAGAUUGCUGAAUACCUUUCCAGAACAUUAAAAACUGAUUGGUCUCCAAGGGUUACCAGGCAGGAGCUCAGAGCCAAGCCCCUUGGGCUUUCGAACAGCACGGCUGGCUUCUGGGUGGUUCAGUUAUUUUUAUCUUCUCAGAAUGACAAUGAGGUAUAGCAACCUCCUCUCAAUGUCGACAUAAGGGUGAAAUAUCCUGCACUUGCUUUGUUUAUAUGGCAUUCAUGCAUGAUUAAUGCCUCCACCUUGGCAACAGUUUGCGUCUGUCGCAUCUGCCUGUGCUCCUAAUCCAGGUGUACGGUAUGUCCAAGGGAUUCAUGCCCACGUUUAAAGUCAAGCGCCAUUUGACGAUUGUAGUCUGCAUUUCAUCUUCAGUCAGGAGAUCAUCACUGAUUGCAAUCAGUCUUCCACAACACGUAGUCAGAGCCCCAACAGUGAGGGCCUUUAAUAUUCUUGUAGAUCAUCACUGGAAAUGCGGGCAGAUCAGUUUGUGUUGACUCUCCCACAUGCCCUAUCAAAAGUAUCAACUUCACAAAGAACGGAACAAUCAAAAGGAUUAACCAUCCCCUCUUAUUGUAUAUAUUUCUGCAUUUAUGUAUGUCAAUGCUUUAAGUAACAUUGUGUGAGAAAGGCUGGGGUGGAGGGGGGGAGCACAGCACACCUUGUGAACAAAUAAUCACUUUGAAAACAUGAUAUACCAAAUAAAUUUGCACAUCAGUGAAAGCAUUUGCGAUUACACCUGUGUUCAGCCCAAUUGCUGAAUCUGCAGAUAGCAUCGGGUGAAACAGAACAUUGAAGUUUUAAAUGUUUUAUACUUUGUUUUGAACACAAUGGACUCGAGAGAAGAUAAUUUUUGAUAAGAUGAAUGCCAAUUUACAGACUCCUUUCAUUCAGACUUAUACUGACAAAUAUACAAUAAAUUUUGAAAUGUUAUAGCUCACUGAGGAGCCUGUGUACAUUAUUACCAAAGGGAUGUGGACACACCUGCACCAGACUGUGAAGGACUGAAGAGUACAGCUUGCUAUAUACUCCGAGUAGUUAUUUCGGUGAUAUAGUAGGUGGAUAGGAGGGUGGAGUUAUGAAACCUUCAUUAUCUCAAUAAUUAAUUUCUGCAUUUUAACCAUAAUUCUCUCUUUUGAUUGUCAUUUAGUCCCGAGUUUAAGGAUCUACACGGUGAUACGAUGUGAAAGCGUUUUUAGAGUCGCGCAGUCCAUUUAUAGUGUUGCCUCCUCAACUGGGAUUAUGAAACUUUACUCUUUCAUUUAAUCCAGGCAUGCCUCUUCCUGUCACAUCGCUGACAGGUCGAGUCAAAAGACAGCAUGUUGCACUUCACAAACAUAUUGGAUGUCCUUUAUGUGAAUCACACUGAGGAUGCAAAAUGAAGUGAAUAACAAGUGGAAAAGGGAUCUUUUAUAACAUGUAGUUGUUUGUUAUUGUUGUUGUUGUUGUUGUUGUUUGUGCACUCCUGUGUAUUUUUUUUAUUGCUUUUAGAAGUAUUACUAUGUAUAAUUUUGUGUGCUCCUUCUGUGUCCUUCUACAGGAUUCCAGAAUAGCAAGAGCGACAAUUGCUUUGCAAUACAUGUCCCCUACCGGUCCCAAUGAAUGUUUGGGAGAUUAAAAAAAAAUUUGCAUUUAAUGCAUGCUUGAGCCGAUACCGGAAUCAAAAUGAAGAAGAAGAGCCUAUCUACCCCACUGUUUCAUUAGUUUUUAGGCUUUGCCUAUUUAAUAUUAAAAAUACAGUCAAUUCUUGUUUAACGUUAUAGUUACUUUCUUGAAAAUUGUGACUUUUACUGAAACGGCUUUAAGCAAAUUCAAUUUCCCCAUAAUAAUUAAUGUAAAUGGGUA